UUUUUUUUUUUUUGUCCCAUGUGCCAGAUGGAGGGAAAUUUCCCUCCUCCAUUAUUCCAAGGUAAUUUUGGAAACUUUUCUUUAUCCCUUUCAUAAAGCUAGAAAUAUGGAUAUUUUGGGUUGUUCAUUAUUUUUUUAAUGGUAUUAUUGUCUUUUUAUUAUUCUGUUUAUCUCCAUUAGGGUUGACCAUUAGUCUUUUGGGGUAAACUGUGAAAAAACAAAUGUUGAGGGGUAAAUUGAGAAAUGGCUCAUACGUAAAAGGGAUAAAGUGCGAUUAACCCUAAAAAAUAUGAAUAAAAAAAGUGUCAAUGAAACAAUCUAAAAUUUUUCCUAUAAAAACUUACAAUCCAAAUGCCUUCUUAUAGUUUUACAAAGCACUAGUGUUUUGUGUUUGGUGUUUCUAGUUAAUUUCUUGUAUCAUCUUGUCAACUUUUUGAGCUUGAGAUUCAUUUUUUCACUCUUUUUCAAAAGUUUGGUGGUUUACGAGCCUAUCCCAAGUAUAGAAAUUUUAAAUUCCGUUCAACAAUAAAACGUGAGAUAUGUUGUUUAUUAUGUUAAGCACAAGGUUCGUACAUAGCGCUUCUUAUUAGUUGAGCUCAGGCCACUUACUAAAACUAAGCCGGUCGACAUACUUGACCAUUAGACAGCACACUUGGCCAAUGGUGCUUUUUUACAUAACUUUCUUGUAAUUUGAAAAUCUAAACAGUUAACUUUUCGUAUCACAUACAAUCAUUUUUGUUUGGACAUAGAAGUGUUUCUACCCCCAAAAGUUGAGGGCAUAAAGUGUUAUUAAUUGUAAGGAAAAGUUGGUAUUUUUAUUUAUAUUUUUCACCCCAUUUGUGGGUAAAGUGCCACUAAAAGUAAGAUAAAUUUUAUUUUAAUCAUUAUUAAAAUCUUGGCAUGCUUAAUGGUUGGUUUAGGACUAGUGAGAGAGCUCCAUGUGGACAUACAAAGACAUGACAGCACUUAUUUCCAUUUACCAUUGAUAAGUGACUAAUUUACAUAAUAAGUGUAUGAUAUUUUAUAUUAUUUUUAGUCACUUUGGUUAUAUUAUUGGAAGAAUAUGAAUCAUUUUGGCUAUAAUUGGUGAAAAAUGCUUUUAAGUGAUUAAAUGAGGUUUUUAUCACUUUUUACUUGGAUUUUGUGUAUUUUGACAGUUUUGACACAUUUUCGUAUUUCGGCUAUAACUUGAGCUACAAUGAUCGGAUUGGGAUGAUUCUUGAACCCAUUUGAAGAUAAGAGAUAGAUCUACAACUUUGGUGAAGACAUCUGAAUCCAGUUUGAAGGUUUUCCAGGUCAAAAAGCCGAAGUACAGAGUCAAUUGCUAUUGGUCGAAACUGGAACAAGGCAUGGAGCAGGCAAGGGUAUUUCAGUCAUAUCUCAGCCUACACAGAUCCAAAUGAGGUGAUUCUUGAUGCAUUGGAAAGAUAAGUCAAAAGGCUACAACUUUCGUGUUUUAGACAUGAGCUGGUUCAGCCUCUAACAUCAAGAAAAGAUCGGUUGAAGUUGGGCCAAAAACAGAGCAAGUGAUCCACACUCGGAUCCACUAUUCAUCCGAACCCUCGGCUGUUUCUGGGUUAGUGGAACCGAGCUCGGAUCCAUACGGAUCCGAGGCACUGUAGCAGCUCGGAUCACUGUAGCAGCCCAGAUUUACUGUAGCAAUCCGGCCGGAUUUGUGGCCGGAUUCCUGGCCGGAUUGUGGUCAGAGAAGUCUGCUUUUUACGCGGAAAACUCAAUUUCACCUCCACCAACUCACAUGGGAUGCUAGACAUGUGAGAAACAUUCCCAGCUGUAAAAGGGAAGUGUAAGCUUCAUUUCUUGACCACCUUUCAUCAUUAAAAGAGCCAAAUUCAUUGCAAGAGAAAGGGGGGAGUCAUAGCAGAGAUAGAGAAGAGAGAACAUACGGGAGAAAACUUGAGUGCAGAAAUGUAGUUCUUCCAUUUCCUUUAGUGUAGGAUAGUUAGCUAGUGUAGUUCAUCCAUUCUUGUAUAAUAGCUAUAUUAGGAUGAAGAUGGAGAUGAAGAAGGAGGAGUUGAAGCUCAAGUGACAUGGGUUAUCUCUACUCCAAUUCUUUAUCUUUUGUAUUGGAUUCUUAACUAUGGUUAUUAUGCAAGUUCUGGAAUUUAUGUCUAUUAUGUGUUUCUAAAGUUUAAGCCUUGGGUUUGGUUGAACUUUCUAUAAUUGUUAGUGUUUAUUAUUUGGUUAUUUGACUGCUAUAAUUUGAGCAAGUUAUUUAGCACUUUGGUUUCUUAAAUCAUGAUUAAUCUGGUACCAUUAAUUGUGAUUAUCUAAGGUGUUGUGUCUGCAAUGAAUAUUGAGAUUUAACACUAGUUCAAGAAGUGCUAAACAUAGGGAGUACACUCACGAAAGUAGAGGUGCACUUAUGUGGUUUUUAGUGAUUCAUUUCAUGUAAUUUCAUUGAAGAAAUGAACUUGUAGCUAAUUUCAUAACCAUGAAAAUAGGUAUGGAUUAGUUAUGUUUUUUUUUUUUUAAACUUUUUUAUUUUAUUAAUGAAAGAGAUAUACACAAUAUUUUUCCUUACAGACGUCUAAUUUUCCGAACUGAGGGCAAACCCAACUUGUCUAGAAAAAUUGCCCCACGAGCUACGGUAUGGAUUAGUUAUGAGUAUAGUUGAUUCACUACGAAAGUAGGUUUCACAUGUUUAAGGAAAUUACACCAUAACUAGCCUAAAUAUAGUAAUUAAUGAUCCAAAUAUAACACUUGCAUGAGUAGUUAGGGAUACCACAACCUAAGGAGCUUUUAUUUGUUAUUUUGUAUAAUUUGAGUAGGUAAAAUUUGUUAUAAUUCAUUGAUAGUCUAAAUAAUAGAGAAGUUUUAGUAAUACCGGUAAUUGUUCACUCUUCCCUGUGGGAUCGACCCGAUAUAUACCCUAAACUACUAGUUGAUCUGUAUACUUGCAGUGAACGGGUGUAAUUCGGUUUUUUAACUUGUACGUAUGUAAAAUACCCGUCAACCAUACCAAGUAGGCGUAGCAUGGUUCCUAAAUCGCCGGUUCUGAUUUAAAAAUCAACAAUUCUAACUCUUUUGAAAGGUGGAACUUAAUUAGCGCCUAUAGAGAUGAUUACGGUUAUAGUUCUUGAAUCUCCAGUUUCGAUUCAAGUUUUAUUCUGGUUAUGGUUACGAUUUUUUUAGGUUACGGUCCUAGUUCUGUUAUUUAUAUUCAAACACUUGUUAUUAUAAAAUUUAUUCUAAGAAAAUAUGACAAUGAAUGUAAAAAAUAAAAAAUAAAAACUAUAUUGUAUUAUCAUGUGCCAGGAAAAAGAAAAAUGAUUCAAAUUUUAUGAAAAGGGAUCUCAUUGUUAAUUAGAUUAGAUAAGUCUUGAAUUUAAAUUAAUUAUGGGAUAUAGAUUUACUAAUGGAAUGGAAAAUGUAGAGGUAAAAUAUAAGUUCCUAGAGAACCACUAGGUAUGGCGUCGUCGCCGCCUCCAUAAAAUGUUGGGUUUAUUAUAAUUACAAUUUGCCUCCUUGUACUUGACCCUUUAAAACCCGUUGUCUCCAUCUAGGGAGGUAAAAUGUAAAUGACCCAAAAAUAGGGCGUAAACUGUAAGUUCCUAGAAAAAAUCACAUAGCAACUUCCCAAUCUUGUUCAGUAAGACAAUUGUGUAGAAUUUAAGUUUUUCGUUCUAGGGAUUAAUAAAUCGUAGAAGGAUUUUAUAAGUUAUUUCAUCUAUACCCUGGAGACAAAACAUUCGUUAUAGUGUUUAGAUGAGCUGUCAUCGAUUUUGAAAAUAAUGAAAAGACUGGUGGUUUUGGAGUUGGAUGAUCAUGGAUGUUUUUCUCUGUUCCAAGACGUAUUUGUUGGUGGUCCAAUAAGUAUAUGACCAGUCCCUACAUUAAUUUUACAGCUCAUUUUUGCUAUCAAUUUUAGUAGCUUUCGUUAAUUAUAGUGUGUUGAACGAGGCUUGGGAAUUGUUAUAGAUGAUAAUUGGAAGCAACCCAUAGCAAAGGUGAUAAUUGGAAGCAAACCACAGGUGAUAAUUGAAAUUUUUUUUUCAUUCAUGAUGGUGUGUUAAAUGAGGCUUGGAAACUGUUGUAUGUGAUAUUUUGAUGUAAUUCACAGCACAACUACAGAUAUAGAAUAUUGGAUUAGUUCAUUGACAGAAAAUUCCAUUUGUCAAAGAAGUCUUGAAUAUGGGUUAGUUGGCCUCUUUCUCGAUGCAUCAGUUAAAAUUCUUUCAUUAUGACAUUUUGAAGAGCUUGGCUGUGUCAUUAAUGCUAUAGAUUGGUUUUCCAAUUUAUAGCUAGACUACAAUAGAAGUACGAUUUCACUUCUGAUAAUACCUUCACCAUAUACAAUAAUGACGGUUGUGUUUCUAAGUUGAAACCCAUUUUUAAUAUGGAAUAAUUUCACAAAGCGCCAUUAAGGUCUCUAAGAGUUCACUUAGCUUUCUUAAAGUUUUAAAAAUAUUAUUUACCUCCCCUAUUUUCAAAUUUUUGUAACAUUCUUAACCCAAUUCAAAUUAUAUGAUUAAAUUAUUCAUUUUAGGAAAGAGAAAAUGAUUUCUUUUCAAGAAUGCCCUUUUGUUGCCUUACUUUUUUUAAAAAACAAUUGCAAGUAUGAUAAUCAAAUGUUAAAAAUAAGGACAAAAAGUAUGAAGAUGUACUUUUUUUAAAGGGACAAAAUAUAGUAACUGCAACCAUAAGCAAAAUGCUUUUUAAAGUACAAAUAAAUAAUAAAAUUAUAUUUAACAUGUUUUCAAAUUACAGAAGAAUUUUAUCCUUUAGGGUUUGUCUAUUUGGAAAACUUUAAGGUCAUAUAAUUAGAAAUGAACCCAAUAUGAUUGUUAUCUUUUUGAUAAAAAUGUAGAUUUCUUCCACAAAAGUGUUGCAAAUCAGGGAGAUAGCUAUGAUUUUAAAACUCCAAUAUUGGGCCCAUCUUCAUUUACCAUAUCCUUAUUGUGUGCCUUUAGAUAACCAAAUGGAAAAAAUCUUUCUUUUUAUAUAAAAUGUUUUGCGAAAAUUUAAUAAAUUUUAUAAAUUGUUUAGAAUCUUUAAUUUUUAUUUAUCUCAAUAGAUGACUUGAAAAUUUAGAAAAGAAAAAAACAUUUAACACUUAUUUGAGAUGUUUAGAAGGUGAAAAAUGUUACUUUCUUCUUCUUUACUUUUUUUAAAUAAAAUAUCUUUUUUAUUUUUUAUAAAAUUUUUGACAGAGUUUUCCCUUAUAAAUGGACGAAACUCCCUGCCAACAAACCUAAAUUCAAGAAAAAUAUCCACAUUGGCAGUUAUUUAAUACAAAUUUUGUGCUAAGCUAAAGCAUUUUUCUACAAAAAUUAGGGAAACAUUUCAUCCACAUCCUGUAGCAGCAGCAGUAUGCCUAAUUUUCCUAAUCGAAGGCAUUCCUAUUCUAUCCAGUCGGAUUUGCUCACGAGCCAGCCUGGGAAACAUAUUAAAGCAGUCGUAGACCUUGAUAUGUUGCUUAGGGUGAAUUAUGCCCGCAUUAGACAGUGCAUUAACAGCUUUGUUUGCCUCCCUGUAGCAAUGUGAGAAACCAGCAGGAUCGUCAACUAAAUGCCAAAUUUGCCGGACCUCUUUUCGAAUAUGCCACGGACACUGAAAGCGCCGCUGAAGAAUCCCAACUAAGACCAAUGUAUCCGAUUGCACACAUAGGUUAUGAAAACCCCUUUGUACACAUAUUUGAAGACCAAUUAGAAGAGCCAGAACCUCUGCACGAAGAGAUGUAGUCUGUCCAAAGAAAGCCGAAAAAGCAAACAAAGGUAAGCCGGUUGAAUCUCGAAGGACCCCACCACCUCCACCCACUCCUGGAUUACCCUUAGAACAACCAUUCGUAUUGAGUAUAAACUUCCCAAUCUCUUUCACCUCCCACCGAACCAAUUUGAAUUCAAAUACACUAACAGACGAAAUCAACCAAUCAAACAACUGACAAAAUGUUUGCACUUCAAUCAUUUGUUUGAAGUGGAUUUCCACAAUGGAUUUAAUUUCAGAGAAGAUGGCUUUACAUAUGACAGCAGAUCGCAACUGGACACCCUCAAAUAUAGCUUUAUUUCUCACCUUCCAAAUGUGCCAAUAGGUAAUACUUGGAAGAACGAGACAGAUAAAAUGCUGUAUCGUAGAAUCUUGUGACCUUAACCACCAUUCAACUAUGCGAGCCCACAAGGACAUCCCUGGGAAGUUCAAUCCACAUAAACCCCCAAAAUAAUUCCAAACCUCCAAAGCUGUGUGACCAGUGGAAAAUACAUGUUCAAUAGAUUCCUCAGACGUCUCUUGACAGCAAAAACACUUUGAGGGCAAAUGGAAACCAAGUUUACAUAACGUAUCCGGAAGCGGCAGUCUUCCUGAUAAGUGACUAAUUUACGUAAUAAUUGUAUGAUAUUUUAUAUUAUUUUUAGUCACUUUCAUUAUAUUAUUGGAAGAAAAUCAAUCAUUUUGUCUAUAAUUGGUGAAAAAUGCUUUUAAGUGAUUAAAUGAGGUUUUUAUCACUUUUUAAUGGGAUUUUGUGUAUUUUGAUAGUUUUGACACAUUUUCGUAUUUCGGCUAUAUCGGAUUGAGAUGAAAUGAUUUUGAACCAAUUUAAAGAUAAGAGAUAGAUCUACAAAUUUGGUGAAGACAUUGGAAUCCAGUUUGAAGGUUUUCCAGGUCAAAAAGCCGAAUUACAGUAGCUAAUUUCUAUUGGUCAAAGCUGAAACAGGGCAUUGAGCAGUCAAGGGUAUUUCAGUCAUUUCUCAGCCCGUACAGAUCCAAAUGAGGUGAUUCUUGUUGCAUUGGAAAGCUAACUCAAAGGGCUACAAGUUUCAUGUUUUGGUCAAGAGAUAAAUCAGCUUUUAUCAUCAAGAAAGGUUCAGUAGAAGUUGAUGCAAAAUCGGAGCAGAGCUGGAAAUUGAACCAGAAGAGACCAAAUGGGCACUGUAGCAAUCCGGCCGGAAUUUGGAUGGAUUUGUGGCCGGAUUUCUGGCCAGAUUGAGGUCAGAGAAGGCUACUAUGUACGCGUAAAACUCAAUUUCACCUCCACCAACUCACAUGUGAUGCUAGACAUGUGAGAAACAUUCCCAGCUGUAAAAGGAAGGUGUAAACCUCAAGUCUUGACCAAUCUUUCAUCUUUAUAUAGCCAAAUUCAUUGAAAGAUUGGAGGAAUAUAGGGAGAUACGGGAGAAGCUUAGAGUGCAGAGAUGUAGCUCUUGCAUUUUCUAAGUAAUAGCAGUAGGUUAGUAUAGAGUAGACUGUUAUCCAUUCUUGUUUAUUAGCUAGGCAAAAAUGAAGAUGGAGGAUGAAGAAGGCAAGGAGAUGAACUCAUGUGAUAAGGGUUACAUUCCUUUCCAACUCUUUAUCUUUUGUACUUGAUUCCAAGUUUAGUUAAUAUACAAGUUCUGGAUUUUGUGUUCAAUAUGUGUCUCUAAAGUUUAUGCCUUGGAUUUGGUUGAGCUUUCUAUAAUUGUUAGUGUUUAUUAUUUGGUUAUUUGAUUGCUAUGAUUUGAACAAGUUAUUUAGCACUUUGGCUCUUUAAAUCAUGAUUAAUCUGGUACCAUGGAUUGUGAUUAUCUAAAGUGUUGUUUCUGCAAUGAAAAUUGAGAUUUAACACUAGUUCAAGUAGUGCUAAACAUAGGGAGUGCACUCACGAAAGUAGAGGUGCACCUAUGUGGUUUUUAGUGAUUCAUUUCAUGUAAUUUCACUGAAGAAAUGAACUUGUAGCUAAUUUCAUAACCAUGAGAAUAGGUAUGGAUUAGUUAUAAGUAUAAUUGAUUCAUUGCGAAAGUAGGAUUCAAAUGCAUAAGGAAAUUACACCAUAACUAGCCUCGAUGUAGUACUAAAUGAUCCAAAUAUAGCACUUGCAUGAGUAGGAUACCACAACCUAAGGAGCUUUUAUUUGUUAUUUUGUAUAAUUUUAGUAGGUUAAAUUUGUCAUAAUUCAUUGAUAGCCUAAAUAAUAGAGAAGCUUUAGUAAUACCAGUAAUUGUUCACUCUUCUCUGUGGAAUCGACCCGAUAUAUACCCUAAACUACUAGUUGACCUGUAUACUUGCAGUGAACGGGUGUAAUUCGGUUUUUUAACUUGCACGUAUAUGUAAAAUACCCGUCAAGUUUUUGGCGCCGUUGCCGGGGAAGAUUUGGCAAUAUCGGUGUGAAGAGCAACUUUAUUAGUUUAGACAUUUUAUUAGUUCUAGUGUAAAUGUUAUGUUUUGUUAUUUUAGUGUUUUAUGUGUGUAUGCAUUUUAUCACCUAUUCUUCUUACUAAUUUUGCUCUUAAGUUGUUUAAAAACAAUUUUAGGUAAUGAGGAGGAUAGAUCAAUUUGGAGGACAAUGCUUGAGAAGUGGAAGAUUGGCAAUGGAUGGUUACCAAGUGCAAAGCUUCUUCAACAAAAGUAACCAAGAAUUUACUGAAUGUAUGUCUUUUGAAGAUGGUUUAAGGUGCUUAAAGGCUAAAUUUGAUGUUAUGAUGCUACAAGUUCAAAUGGACACAAUUAUGCAUGAAAUUGAGCAAGGGAGGAAUGUUAAUGCUUUUAAUUCUUAUCAUAUGAUUUGCGAUUUGUGUGGAAGUUAUCAUGCUACUAAUGCAUGUAUGCAAGCACAAAAUAUGAAUUAAUAUGAUGAAUUAGAGCAUUACAAUCCCUGUUUUGAUCAAUAUAGUGCUAAUUGGAGCAAUUCUCCUGCUUAUGGUUGGGAUAAUCAAUGUGCAUAUAGUGAUUAUCCGUAUUUUUAUGAUUACCAAUCUGAAAGUGUCCAAUAUGAAUCAAAGCCAUCUUGAAAGUUGGCAAUAGAGAAGUUAGCUAAUGCACCUCUGCCUUGGGAGUUAGAAAGUGAACUAUUAGUUAAUGGUUCUAAUGCAUCUUGGGCGCUAGCUAUAGAAAUUUUUUCUAAUCAAUUUGACUUAGCCAUAGAAAAUCUAGCAAAUGCAACCUCCUACCGUUUUGAUAGGAUUGAAGAAAAGAUAGAUGAAUUAGCUUCUCACUUUGGUAGAAUACAUGAACAAUUGAGUGUAUUGUGUGAAGUUAUUUCUUCUAAUAAAGUGCAAAAUGACUCUAGCAUGAAUGGUGGGAAUGUUGUAUGUGAAAAUGGAUUGCAUUGUGAUGAAAAUGAUGAAUCUAACUUGGGUUUCAAUGAGAAAAUAUCCAGUUCACAUGAUAAUAUCUUUGGAACUAACUUUGAAACUCAAGAGGUGAGUUUUAAUGACUCAUUUUUCAUCCCUCUUGAGGAGAGUAUUGAAAGUGUAGAUUCUAAGGGUAUUAUUGCCCAAGACUAGAGCUGUUAAAUGAACCGAGCUGUUCGUUAGCUCGGUUCGUUUCGGCUCGUUCGUGUUCGUGAAAGGCUCGUUCGAAAUUUUAAACGAACCGAGUUCGAACGAAUUUUUUUGUUCGAUUAAUAAUCGAGGGAACACAAACAUGUUCGCGAGUUUUAACGAACGUUCGUGAACAUAGACAUAAUUAUCAUUUGACAAAUUUUAGGGUUAAUUUUAUGGCUGGACUUUUAUAUUUGGAGGGCAAAUUUCUUUGUUUUAUUUGUUGUUUUUAUGUUAAUGUUAGUUAUAUAGUUAAUGAAUAAUAGAAUUUAGUCACUUAGUGCUUUAAUUAUUUUUAAGAAUAAUUAAUAAUUUGCAUGGCAUAUUUAAAGCAUAAAAUAAUUUGGAUUCGAGCAUUUCGAACAUGUUCGCGAACGGCUCGUUUAUGUUAAACUAGUCGAACACGAACUCGAACUCGAACACGAAUUUUACUUAACGAACCGAACACGAACACAAGUUUGGAGUUCGAAAAUUAACGAACGAACACGAACGUUGUUCGAACUGCUUAACGAAUAGAGCUCAAACAUGAGAUACUCGGUUCGAUUCGGUUCGUUUACAGCUCUACCCAAGACAUCCUCAUUGCAUCUCCUUUGGAAAAUUCUUAAGUGUUGUAUAUUCAAGGUAACAUCUAUGAAUCACUUGGGAUAGGUAAGUCAUUUCUAUUUCUCACAUCAUUGGAUCAUGUGACUUUUGCUAUAAAGUCACCUUUUAAUGAUCCACCAAAACCUAAAAUGGUGGAUUAUUCGUUAACUAAGCCUCCUUGAAAAAUGAGGUGAUAUAGUCUAGCUAAUGAUUAUAAAGAAGUGCUAGUUGGGAGGCAACCCAAUGAUUUCUUAUUUUGAGUAAGUUUAAGUUGUUUAAUUAGUGUUUUUGUGUGUUUUAUAGGUGACAAUGGCAAUGGCUUAUGCAAAUGGCUUCAAGUGCAAAAUAGCUUAUAAGGAAGUAAAAAGGGAGUUUUCUUGAUCCAAUUCAUGCAUUAAAAGUGCUUAAUUCUUAAGUUAUAUUGAUGUAUGAUUUCAUGUUUCAAGGUGCAAUUGGUUGAGAAAGCACAUUUUUCAUGUUUAAGGUGAGUUUUUCUUGAAAAAAAUGAAGAAAGUUGAAAAUUGGGUGUGUAAAAAUCUUGGUAAAUGGAAAAACGGAAGGAAAAACUGCAGAAAUAAAAAUUUUCUACAGUAAAUCCGGCUAGAAAUCCGGCCAAUUUUUGGCCGGAUUAAUGGUCGAAUAGUCAAGGGAGGCGAAACAAAAAAAUUUUUGGCCACUGCCUCAUAUCUGGCCGAGAAUCCGGCCAAAAUCCGGCCAGAUAUGUAGAGUUUUUUUUUUUUAUUUAUCCGACCAACAAUCUGGCCAACUUCGGAAAAAUUGAAAAAAAAAAUUUCAAUGCUACUGGCCAGGAUCCUACCGAAAAUCCGGCCGAAAAUUGGCCGGAUUUUGGCCACUUUUGCGCACAAGAGGGUGGAUUCCCCAAUUUCUUCUUACCUUUCUUCUUCAACACUUCAUACACACUCACACCUAAAACAUACACUACUCCUAAAAUCCAUCUUUUCACCAACCAAUCUCCAAACUAAAUACACCAAAACACUUCUCUUUCACUUGUGAGUUGAUUUCAUAGCUUAAAAUCUUUCAAAAACAAGUUGUAAUUUGAAUUUGAGCUUGAGAAGAAACAAGGGUUUCAAAUUUUGAACUCUUCAUUUGGGGCCAAAUUGGAGUAAACUUUUUGGGGUUUCUUCACCAUUUGCAUCAUCAAUCAUCUACCAACAAGUUUGAGGUAACAAAUCUUCACCAAAUGUUGUCAUUUGAAUUUUGCCAAUUUUCACUUUUCCCUAUUUUUGGUCAAUUUCGAAUUUUUUUUUCAUUUUGUGAAGUUUGAUGCUUGUUAUUAUGAUUAUUGAGCUUAUUGAUGAUUGUUGGUGAUGUUUAACUUAUGGGUUUGUAAUUAUAUGCUGAAUUUAGCAAUUUUUAGCUAAUUUUGAGGAUUAAUUUGAUUUGAUCAUUAUUAGCUAAAUUUUUGGGCUAAUUAGAUUGAAUAAAAUUGUAUGAGAUUAAUGGAUUGCUCUAAGAUAUUUAUAUGCUAAAUUUAGGCUUAAUUGGCUAAUCUUUGAAAUUUUAGCAUGUUUAUUCUAGAAAUUUUGGUAAAAGGAGAAUUAAUGACCUUUUUAAGUUUAAAAUUCAUGGUAAAGAUGUUAUUAACACUUAAUUAGGCCAUUUGGGAGUAAGUUGUGAAUUUAUUUCAUUUUGUUUCCUCUAAUGGGUUUGUUUACUUAAAUGUUUCAAUUGGAAAAGAAUAAAAGAAGCAUUUGUUGUUGAUAAUCAAUUGUAAAGUCUUGCUUAUGAAGUUAAUUGCUAAUUAUUAUGUGAGUAACUUGAUAAGAUUGGCUAAUUAAAGAUAAAGAGGUAAACGUGAAUGAGUUUUCAUUAUCUUUACUUAGCAAUGUACCUAUUAAAUGAAGUUAAUGUUUAAUUAUUGAAUUUAGGUAUAAUGGCUCGCACUAAGAAAGCCGGUGUGAAAUCUCCUCCCAAUAGGAGAGGAGAAGCGUCUACGUCUAGACCACCACGCUUGAAAAGAAAAGCGAGUAGACGCCUUGUGCUUCAAGACAAGCCAUCAUCCGAGGAGGAGAAUCAACAACAAGAACAAUAAGAGGAACAAGAGGCACAAGGGGAACAAGAGGAGGAAGUCCCAUAUGAUAAGUCGCGCUUCACUUCCGCCGAAAAUGAAGCUUGGUACAAUGCUAGGAGAGGAGCUAAGGUAUUGGUGGAAAAGGAUGCCACUCCGGAUGUUGAGGAGGUCUACCAUCUCAAGGCCUCCUUUGCCAAGUUGGGAUGGGAAAACUUCUUUAACAUCCCCAACUUUUAUUAUGAGGAGCUUGUCCGAGAAUUCUACGCGAAUGCGGAGGACAAAAAGAUUUUUCAAUACGACAUGGAAGUGAUUACUAGUACAGUGCGAAGGAGAAAAGUUCGAGUCCAUAGAGCUGAUUUGGAAAGCUAUCUUCAUGUUUCAGAUGUGGGGCACAAGGUAGAUUUGAAGAAAGCCUUCAAACCCAUUGAUUUGGACUCUUGGAACAUGCUAGAGGCACUUGUACGCUUGGGGGUUGAGUAUAAAGCUACUAGGACGACGGGGCGAUAUUCUGUAUUGACUUCGUCAUUUUUGGAGUCGCAACGUCUUCUUAUUUACUUAUUUUCCUCCAACAUUAUUCCGAGGGCGAGUGGAACCAAUGAGGCACGCACAAGCGACAUCUAUUUCUUGGAUAAAAUGGAGCAUGGUUUAGGUAACAUCCAAGGCAUUCCAUUGGGAAGCAUUAUCACCAACCACAUGUGGACAGUGGUUCACAGUAACGAUAUCAAACAUGCUUUCCCAUAUCCUCGGUUUUUGACCUUGAAGUUUCAAAGGGCUUGAGUGGAUUUUUCUAACGGUAUCCCUACAGGUCUCAAGAAGAAGGAUGUCUUUACACUGGAUUUUUGCAGGUUCAUUCUGAAAAGUAAAGACGUAGGUGGUCCUUCGACUCAAGAAGGUGCUCAAGGAGACAUUCGGCACGAGGAGGAAGCUAAGAUUGAACGUAUUGAAGGAGCCCAAGAGGUUGACACAACCACCCCCCCCGGUUCUCAACUGAGCCGUCUUCCUCCCGUCGUCCAUCCUCACCUCAGGACACUCGGUCGUUUUUGAAGAAGAUAAUGGAUAAGCUGCUUUGCGUUGAGGCUGAGGUGAAGAAGAGCCGCCAAGAGAACAAACAGAACUCCGAGCGUCUUCGUCGCAUCGAGACCAAGCUGGGUAUUGAAGCUCCUCCGACUCCACCAUCUUCACCUGACCAAGUGACUACUUGAGGGAGUGCUCGUCACCUUGUGACAUUGCCACUAGUUUUUCUUUUAUUUUCUGUAGUAUUUGUGAUGUUUAAUUUUUAGUGGUUUUCAUUAUUUCUUUUGUGUGAACUAAUCCAAGUGAUCUUCAUCUAUGUUUUUAGACUUCUUAUGGUUGGAAAUUCGUCACUUGGCCAUGGAUUCUGAUUACGCAAGUUCAAUUGAGCAGUAUUUUCUUUCACUCUUUAUUUAUUUUCCUUUUCUCACAAUGAGGACAAUGUGAAGUUUAAGUGUGGGGGAGGAAAAUAUUGAACUUGCAUUUACUUGCUAGGUGAUGAUAUUUUGUGGAUAUAAAUGCUUAGAAAUAUUGGAAUUGUGUUUGAAUUAUUUGCCUUGUGGAUAAAUUGCUUGAAUUUGGGCAUGUUGGCAGAGAGUUUUGUCCAUUUAUAAGGGGAAACUCUAUCAAAAUUUUUCUAAAAUCUUUUCCAAUAUUUCAUUAUGGCCCAAAAAUUCUUUAAAUUUUUGCAUUCAAAAAGGGCCAAAGUAUUCCAACCUUAAGUGUCUAAUUCUUCCAAUUAUGGAAACUUUAUGUGAAUUUUGGAAGGUUUAGUCCUCAUUUAACUUGGAAAUAGUUAUUAUGCAAUUAGAAUUUUUACAUUUUAGAAAGUAUAUUUGGUAAAAUGAGGAAAAUUAUGCCUAUAAUUUUACAUGUUUAAUGAGAUUUCUUCUCUUUACUUAAUUUUGCAAGUAAGUGAUUGAUAUAGUCGAUAAAGGUUAUACUCCUCCUUUGAUUAUUCUUAUAUAUUUUCUAAGAGAGAAUAUCUAUUUGUUGUCCUUUUUUUUAAAAAAGAAAAAAAAACAAAGAGAGAAAAAAAAAGAGAAAAUGAAGUGAAUAAAAAUUGUUCUACUCCAAUGAUUCUCGUACCAAGUAACCGGGGUUGGUAUCCACAAAUGUCGACAUUUGCGUAAAAAGGUACUUGAAUUAAGAGUAUGCAAAGCAACUUGAAUAGGUGAAAUGUUGAGUAACCGGGGAUCUUCACCUAAAAGUGUCGAUUUUCGCGUAAAAAGACAUUUUCACUAUUUAAGUAAAAUUAAUAUGAAUAAAUCCCUCUUAGUUAUAGAAUUUUGAGAAAAAAGAUGAUUAUAGGAGGAGGAAGGCUAUAAAUUGACUAUGUGAUUUGCUUAUUUGUAAAAUUAAGUUAGAGUAAGAGAUUAAGUUUAACUUGUUGAAUUUAGGGUAUAAUUAUCUUUCCUUUAUUUGAUAUUAUGAGUGAUAAGAGUAUAUUUUACGUAUUUUUAGUGUGCUUUAUUGGUUAGUUUUGGUGUGUUUUAUUUAAUUUUAUAAAUAAUUAACUAAGAUUCUAGUGAAAAUAUGCAUUUUGUAGUUUAAAGUGUGAAAAGUGGAUUUCUAUGAAUUUUUAUGAUAAAAAUUUCAUAUUUUACAGGUUUAUUGAUUCAAUCAUCAAAUGGAGUGCAUUGAGAAUAUAAUUUGAUGAUUGAUGAUGGAUUAAAAUGAUAAAAAUAGAAUAUGAAGUGUGAAAGAAGAAAUGCAAUUAAAGUCAAAAGGAAGCAAGAUGUUCAUCUUUGACACGUUUUUGUAUUUUGGCUAUAUCUUGAGCUACAUACAUUGGAUUGAGAUGAUUCUUGAAUCAUUUUUGAAGCUAAGAGACAGAUCUACAUUUGGUAUGAAAGACAUCAAAGUCCAAUUCGGCUGUUUUCCUGGUCAAAAUGUCAAAAUACAGAAGUAAAAGUCUGCUGCUGAGAGCUGAAAAUGCGGAAUUGACCAGUCAGUGGUAUUUUUAUCAUAUCUUGGUUCUCAGAACUCCAAAUUGGAUGAUUCUUGAAGCAUUCGACAGCUAUUUCAAUGGACUACAACUUCGAUGUUGCACAAGAGCCAAUUCAGCCACCAUCAUAGAGAAAAUAGCAGUUGAAGUAGCUAGAUUCUGGUCAGAAAUAGCUGCUCUCCACUGGUACAACCUGUUUUCUCCUUCAAUAAAUUACAGCUAUGAAUGAAUGUAUGACAAGCAAUUAGCAGCUGUAAAAGAGAUGUUUCAACCCUCAUUUCCUGACUGCAUUCAUCUAUAUAUAGCCAUGGACUUGCAAGAUUCAGAAUAACUUGGGAGAAGGCUAGAGAAACUUACCAGAAAUGUAGUUUUCACUAGAGUUUCUUUGGUUCAUUAGUAUAGUAUAGGUAGAGUAGUUUAUCCAUCUUGUAUUUGUAGUUAGAUUUGGAUGAAGAUUGGAGGAGCAAAGAUGAAGAGGUUGAUCUCAUGUGACAAGGGUGAUAUCUCUUCUACUACUUUCUCUCUUGUAUUGGAUUUCAUGUUUAAUUAUAAUACAAGUUGGCUUUGUGUUUUUAUUAUGUUUAGUUAAAGUUUAUGCCUAGAGUUAUGGUUGAACUUGCUAUAUUUUGUUUGUGAUGUUUACUUGUCUACUUGGUAAUAUUAUUUUGAGCAAGUUAUUUAUCACUUUUGGUUAUCUAAUCAUGAUUAACUGGCCAUUAAUUAUGAUAAUCUUAAGGUGUUAAGUUUGCAAUGAAAAUUGGAAUUUAACACUAGUUCAAAGAAGUGAUAAGCCUAGGGAGUACACUCACAAAAGUAGAGAUGCACCUAUGUGGCUUAAGUGACUUGUUUCAUGUAAUUUCAUAGAAGAAAUGAACUUGUAGUUAAUUUCAUAACCACAAGAGUAGGUAUGGCUUAAUUACAAGUAUAGUUGAUUCACUACGAAAGUUGGUUUCACAUACAUUAGGAAAUUACGCCAUAACUAGUCAAGAUAAUAGCAUUCACUUAACCGGUAAUCUCAUUUGCAAGAGUAGUAAGAAAUUUGAUAUCUCUAGGAGCUUUCUAGUGUUAUUUUCAUUAAUUUGUGGUAGUCUAAAUAAUAAAGGAGUUUGAAAACAUCGGUAAUUGCAUUCUUCCCUGUGGGAUCGACGCUUAAUACCCUAUACUCGCUCACGAUUCGUAUACUUGCGAUAAAUCGCGUGUGGGGUAUUUAGGAAUUUAUAAAUGUAAAACAUUAUUGGGAUGAUCUUAAUAUCAUAUGUAUACCCCGCGCACGACAAUGAGUAUAUAGUGUAAUUUGAACAAUGAUAUAAUGAUUAUUUUCCAAGUCUUGCGGAAUUAAAUUGGACAAAGUGCAUAUAUUGUUUCACCUCUUGAAUCAUUGUGGUUGAUUAUGUGUGGAUUGUUUGAGGACAAGUAAUGAUUCAGGUGUAGGGGAGUUUGAUAAGUGGGUAAUUUACGUAAUAAUUGUAUGAUAUUUUAUAUUCUUUUUAGUCACUUUAGUUAUAUUAUUGGAAGAAAAUGAAUCAUUUUGGCUAUAAUUGGGGAAAAAUGCUUUUAAGUGAUUAAAUGAGGUUUUUAUCACUUUUUAAUGGGAUUUUGUGUAUUUUGACAGUUUUGACACAUUUUCGUAUUUCGGCUAUAACUUGAGUUACAGUGAUCAUAUUGAGACAUUCUUGAACCAAUUUGAAGAUAAGAGAUAGAUCUACAACUUUGGUGAAGACAUCUGAAUCCAGUUUGAUGGUUUUCCAGGUCAAAAAGCCGAAUUACAGUAGCUAAUUUCUAUUGGUCGAAGCUGAAAUAGGGCAGUGAGCAGUCAAGGGUAUUUCGGUCAUUUAUCAGGCCAUACAGAUCCAAAUGAGGUGAUUCUUGAUGCAUUAGAAAGAUAACUCAAAGGGCUACAAGUUUCAUGUUUUGGUCAAGAGCUAAAUCAGCUUUUAUCAUCAAGAAAAGUUCAGUAGAAAUUGAUGCAAAAUCGGAGCAGAGCUGGAAAUUGAACCAGAAGUGACCAAAUUGUCACUAUAGCAAUCUGGCUGGAAUUUGGACGGAUUUGUGGCCGGAUUUUUGGCCAGAUUGAGGUCAGAGAAGGCUGCUAUGUACGCGUAAAACUCAAUUUCACCUCCACCAACUCACAUGUGAUGCUAGACAUGUGAGAAACAUUCCCAACUGUAAAAGGGAGGUGUAAACCUCAAGUCUUGACCAAUCUUUCAUCUUUAUAUAGCAAAUUUCAUUGCAAGAUUGGAGGAAUAUAGGGAGAUACGGGAGAAGCUUGGAGUGCAGAGAUGUAGCUCUUGCAUUUUCUGAGUAAUAGCAGUAGGUUAGUAUAGAGUAGAGUGUUAUCCAUUCUUGUUUAUUAGCUAGGCAAAGAUGAAGAUGGAGGAUGAAGAAGGCAAGGAGAUGAACUCAUGUGACAAGGGUUACAUUCCUUUCCAACUUUUUAUCUUUUGUACUUGAUUCCAAGUUUAGUUAAUAUAAAAGUUUUGGAUUUUGUGUUCAAUAUGUGUCUCUAAAGUUUAUGCCUUGGGUUUUGUUGAACUUUCUAUAAUUGUUAGUGUUUAUUAUUUGGUUAUUUGAUUGCUAUGAUUUGAACAAGUUAUUUAGCAUUUUGGCUCUUUAAAUCAUGAUUAAUCUGGUACCAUUGAUUGUGAUUAUCUAAGGUGUUGUUUCUGCAAUGAAAAUUGAGAUUUAACACUAGUUCAAGAAGUGCUAAACAUAGGGAGUACACUCACGAAAGUAGAGGUGCACCUGUGUGGUUUUUAGUGAUUCAUUUCAUGUAAUUUCACUGAAGAAAUGAACUUGUAGCUAAUUUCAUAACCAUGAGAAUAGGUAUGGAUUAAUUAUAAAUAUAAUUGAUUCACUACGAAAGUAGGAUUCAAAUGCAUAAGGAAAUUACACCAUAACUAGCCUGGAUGUAGUACUAAAUGAUCCAAAUAUAGCACUUGCAUGAGUAGUUAGACAUACCACAACCUAAGGAGCUUUUAUUUGUUAUUUUGUAUAAUUCUAAUAGGUUAAAUUUGUUAGAAUUCAUUGAUAGUGUAAAUAAUAGAGAAACUUUAGUAAUACCAGUAAUUGUUUACUCUUCUCUGUGGGAUCGACCUGAUAUAUACCCUAAACUACUAGUUGACCUGUAUACUUGCAGUGAACAGAUAUAAUUCGGUUUUUUAACUUGUACGUAUAUGUAAAAUACCCGUCACUUCCCAUCAACAAUCAUAACAUAAAAAAUGACAUUUUCAAAGGGAUCGUAGGGUGCCAAACCUUAGAGAACACCAUCGACGUGUUACAGACCUGUCGAACCUCCCGAAAAGCUGAUGUCAAUGUGAAGUUUCCAGAUGACGUGUGCUUCCAAAUGACUUCAUCUGCACAUUCACCUUCAGGGAUCAGGAACUUUAAGAUUGAGGAAACAAUAUCUCUUGGCAAGGUUUGAGAUAAAAGAUUGACAUCCCAAUGCCCGUUGAUAAUGAAAUUGCGAAAUGAUAAGUUUGGGACAACUGGUGCUCUAAGAAAUAAUACACCAGUGGCCAACCAAUUGUCAUACCAAAAGUGACACGAACCGUCAUGGAUUAACCAAACCAUAGGUAGCUCCACUUGGUGGCUCACGUUUAACAUUCUUCGCCAGACUGCCGAGUUUGUUAACCUUAAUAAUACCUGACAAGGGUGUGACGACCCCACCUCUCCCUAAGGCGUACCAAAGGGUUCGGCGGACCGCCUGCCCAGCUCUCGCCAGGACUCACUCACUAUCUCAAUCGAAUCAUAAAUACACAACCAUGCACCAUAAAUAAUAUUCACGAUUCAGACUUAUAAUUUACAUUGAUAGGAAUCGAGUUUCAAAGUCUUAAUACACCAAACUAGUUCAAAUCGUAUACAAUCCAAGUACAACAUGUUUCGUUCGAGGAAUAGCGCGAGUACAAGACCAAAAAGUCAAAAGUCAAAACAAACGGCUACACUAGUCUUUUACAAGUCUCUCGCGUCACCCGUACCCCUGUAAGGAAAACAAACUAACGGGGUGAGCCAAAGCUCAGUGAAGUUCCCAAAUAUCAAAUUGGUCAGCAACCAAGUUAUAGCAAAAUAAAAGUGAAAUGGCGAGCAAACAAGUCAAAUCAAGGAAAUAGUACUUCAGCUAGUCAAGUAGUAUUAGAUGCACAUUCACAUAUAAGGAUACGGUAUUCAUGUUACGGCUCCAUUCCAGCUUGGUCAAGUGGUAGUCGACACUCCGUCAACUUUCAAGUAAUUCCAAGUCCAAAUAAACUCCGCUACACGCCAAUUUCCGUCCACCGAUCAACCCCCUAUUCCGGGCCCGCACGCCAUACGAAACAUGGGUGGUAAUACUCGAGUAUACCGUUAGUCGAGGAGAUAACACUCCACUCGACAUUACAAGUGACCCAGGGUUUGUUAUCUAAUCGACCAGGCCCUUGCCGGCUCGACUCGAUUAACUAGCCACAGAGUUUCUGGAAUUCCAGGCAAGAUACAAUUCAAGUACAUGUACAACAAGUCAAGUAUGAUCAAUAGCAAGAACAGGUCAUAUUAGGGCAAGUGCGAUAAAGUACACCCUUGCCCUUUCAUUCAUUGUCAUGUAAUCACGCAAGUCAAGUAGGGAGUACACAUAUCAAGUACAAUCGGAUAUUUGGAAGCACUCACCACAAUAGUGCUUCUAGUUUUCGCGUCGAGGUGGUACUCCGGGUUGGGAGUCCAAAUCUGCGAUAAAACUUUACUUGAGAACUUUGAAAUCAACCAAGGUUCGAAACUUAAGCGUUUCGUUCGAUAAGAAUCAAGAAAUUGAAAUUCACUUGAGAAGAGUCGUGAAAUAGUUGCUCGCUCUUUAAACUGGAAAAUUUGAUAACAUUUUUGCUUGAAUAUGACUCUUGAGUCAAAAGUGCAAGUAAAACGGUUUCGUAGUGAUUCAUAUCGUUUUCCUAAGGGUACAAGUUUGGCCAAGUCCUAACAUAUAACCCUCGAUAAACAAGUGGCAAAGGUCCUCGAUAGUUCAAGUGAUAAUCACUUAACCUUCACUCAAGUCGCAAAGAUAGUUUUCUAGACCUCGAGUAAAAAUUUGGGCAGCAUGCCCUUUGUGUUUACCUAAUUUCCAGCCAUUUAGGCUUCAAUAUUUUCCUUCAACAACAUCCCAACAUCAUACAAAUAAGAAAUUUAUGUCAAGAGCCGUUCUAUAGGCUCACAAUAUUAUAACAACAAGAAUCGCCUCAAGUACAAGUGCAGAAAUUCAAUGUGGCACAAGACAGAUUUGACGUACAAAUGCGGUAAUAACACAUCCGAGGCUACGCUUAUCGGAUUAAGACGAAACCUGUGCCCUUUCGAAGCUAAGACACAAAGCUACAACAUUCAUGAAGGUCACUUAGUCCAUUUCCUAAUGUAACUUAGUCAAAAUCUCAGAUUACUAAACCAGAAACCAAUUCACCGGCAGUUUAAACGCAUUAUGCUGUAACGGACCUAACUCAGUGUACACAAGUCCGAAUCAGGUUUUCUUUGAGGCAUUUUAAAGCUACUUCAGAACACUACAAGUUUUAUGUUUUGGCCCAGAGCUAAAUCAGAAUGGAUCCUGGUCAAAAAUCGUGAUAAACUGGACUGAACUGAAGAAACGGACUGCUGGGAAAUUCUUAAAACAGUAGGGGUAUUUUGGACUUUUCACGUUCUGCGUUGCUCCGAUUGAGCUGAAAUUUUAUAGGCACCUAUAAAACACCAUUCUCUACAACGUUUCUUCUUUGACCAAAGGCCAAUUCGGCCUCUAACAUAUAGGUACAAUUUCGGACAGAAUGCUUGGGAAAUUUUCCAGAAAUCUGGAAUUUUUAGCUCUAAGUGUAAUUUCCUCAAAUUUCUGGUUCUAAUCACCACUAAACAACCUUAUAUAACCUUAAUUACAACAUUCAUGCAUCAUACAUCACAUUGAGCAGAAAAUCAGAAACCCUAGUUCAUCAAAUAAAUUGGGGAAAACCUCUAAAUCAUGCUAAUCAUCCAUAAUCUCACCACUAUAAUCACCUACUAAACUUAAUUUAACAAGAUUAGAUGUAAAACUUGGAGAGAUAAACUCUCUUACCUUGAAUAAAAGUCACCAAGAGUAGCACAAGCUCUCCCCUUCAAGAAUCACACCACCACUCACUAGCUAGUCACUAGAAAGCAAGUUUAAUCGGUUUACUUCGCUCGAUUCCUCACUUAUUUGUUGGAUUUGGAGAUGAAAUGAAAGAUUUCCCUUGGAGUUUUUCCUCCUUGAUGCUCUCGGCCAGCUCCAGCAGAAAUGAGGAAGAAUUGGCUAAGUGUUGAGGUUAUAUGGAUGGUAAUGGUCUUGGGUAAGAAGCCAUGAGGUGGUGACACUUGUCACCACCACCACCCUUUCUUUUUCUCUUUCUUUCUUGCCUUUCUUAGCCACCAAUUUUCAGUCAACAUGCUGCCAAGAGAGAAGAUAUUAUGUGCAAAAGUCAACAACUUGUUGGGUAAGAAAAAUGGUGGUCAAGCGGUGCGUUCAAUCGGUAAUGCGCGGGACCCGCCGGUUCGCGCCGUUUUUCUUAAAAACUCACGUACUAGGGUUUUUACCUCCCAUUCACUAACCUUAUAUCAUUGCUACUACUUACAUAUUAUUUCUCACUUAAAAGUCACUUUUAAUCAUCAAAUUGAUCCUCGGCCAGUACCGAAAAUUCAUCCGGCGAAAAAAUCGAAAAACCCUAAUUUUGCUCAAAACUUGAAACCAAAGCGUAAAACCUUAUUUUCUAGGUUUAUUUACACUUAGUGUGAAAUAAUGAGGUAGGGGGCCUUAAUAAAUAAUAAUUUUCAAAUAAAAGGCAUUUUUGAGGAAAAAUGUAGGAAAUUUGCGGGUCCUCACAUCCUCUCCCCCUUAAAAGAAUUUCGACCUCGAAAUUCAUACCUUUUGUCGCGAACAGGCCAGGAUACUUUUCUUGCAUAUCCGUUUCUAGCUCCCAAGUUGCUUCUUCCACUUCAUGAUGCUUCCAUAGUACCUUUACUAAAGGAAUCUGCUUGUUUCUCAAGUCCUUCACCUUCCUAUCCAGUAUUUGAAUAGGUCGUUAUUCAUAGGUUAAAGACUCGUCAAGUUCAACAUCUUCGGGUGGAAAAAUGUGAGUCGGAUCCGGAUGGUAUUUCUUAAGCAAAGAAACGUGGAAAACGUCAUGGAUCCUAGAUAAGCUAGCGGGUAACUCAAGUCGAUAAGCCACCUUUCCUAUUCGCUGCAGCAUCUUGAAAGGUCCUAUAUAUCGUGGUUGCAACUUUUUCCCUUUUCCGGAUCUAAUCUUUCCCUUUAAUGAUGUGAUCCGAAGAAACACCUUAUCUCCUAUUUCAAACUCCAAGUCUUUCCUCCUAUGAUCGGCAUAGCUUUUCUGACGGCUUUGGGCGGUUUGAAGUCUCUGGCGGAUCACUCUCACCUUUUCAUAGGCUUCCUCAACCCAUGGUAUAGUAGCCGGAUCUAUGACUUUUCUCUCCCCUACUUCAUCCCAAUGGAUUGGAGAUCGACAUCGUCGUCCGUACAAAGCUUCAUAUGGAGCCAUUUGAAUAGAGGAAUGAUAACUAUUGUUAUACGCGAAUUCAACCAAAGUCAAGUAUUGGCUCCAACUUCCUUUAAAAUCCACAAUACAGGCUCUCAGCAUAUCCUCAAGAGUUUGAAUAGUUCUCUCAGAUUGUCCAUCAGUUUGCGGGUGAUACGCUGUGCUAUAACUCAGCUUAGUUCCUAGAGCCUCUUGUAAUUUCUGCCAGAAUCGGGAUACAAACCUAGGGUCUCUAUCAGAUACAAUGCUUACUGGUACCAUGUAGUCUCACUACCUCAUCCAUAUAAAGUUUAGCAAGUUUCUCCAAGGAAUAUUUCAUGUUCACCGGCAGAAAAUGUGCAGUCUUAGUUAAUCUAUCCACUAUCACCCAAAUUGCAUCAUGCCCCUUUUGUGUUCGUGGCAAUCCUGACACAAAAUCCAUCGUUAUGUGCUCCCACUUCCACUCAGGGAUCUCUAAAGACUGUAACAAACCUGACGGCUUUUGAUGCUCAGCUUUCACCUGUUGGCACGUAAGACAUUUUUGCACAAACUGGGCAAUCUCCGCCUUCAUUUUCUCCCACCAAUACAGAUUCCUAAGAUCUUGGUACAUUUUAUUAUUCCCUGGGUGCACCGUAUACCUAGAGCAAUGUGAUUCCUCUAAAAUCUCCCUUUUCAAUUCCUCAUCCCUAGGUACCACGACACGAUUUCGAAACUUUAAAAUUCCAUCAGGGCUUAGAUUAAAAUUAGGUAACUCCCCUUUCUUCACUCUCUCUACCCACUUCUGCACUAUUGGAUCCUUCACUUGGCCCUCUUUGAUUCGUUCCAUCAAUGCCGAUUUCGCCUCAAUAUUUCCAAAAACCACCUUUUCCGGUUCCAAACGAGGUUUCCACUCACAUACAUCUUCCAAUAGGCUCCACUCUCUCACUAUAGAACUUGCUAGUUGAGCCUUCCGGCUUAAAGCAUCUGCUACAACGUUGGCCUUUCCAGGAUGAUAGUUAAUUGUACAAUCAUAAUCCUCUAAGAACUCUACCCACCGACGUUGUCUUAGAUUUAACUCCUUCUGAGAAAACAGAUACUUAAGGCUCUUAUGAUCCGUAUAAACCUCGAAAGUUACACCAUAGAGAUAAUGUCGCCAUUUCUUCAAAGCGAACACUACAGCUGCAAGUUCCAAGUCAUGGGUCGGGUAAUUUUGCUCAUGAGUUUUUAACUUUCGGGAUGCGUAGGCAAUCACUUUCCUAUUCUGCAUCAACACGCACCCUAGCCCUUCUUUUGAAGCAUCGGUAUAAACCGUAUAACUAUCCUUUCCACUGGGCAAAGCUAAAACUGGAGCCAUAGUCAAUUGUUUCUUAAGUUCUUGAAAACCAUUUUCACACUUAACGUCCCAAAUAUACUUUCCUUGUUUCUUGGUCAGGUUAGUCAAGGGUCCUGCAAUCCUCGAGAAAUUCUUUAUAAAUCUGCGGUAGUAUCCUGCUAGACCUAGAAAACUUCGCACCUCGGUGGGAUUUUCUGGCCGUUUCCAUUUAGCCACAGCUUCCACUUUCGCCGGGUCUACAGCAAGGCCAUCUUUCGAAAUUAUAUGACCUAAAAACGCCACCUCUUCCAACCAAAAUUCACACUUACUGAACUUAGCAAACAGUUGGUGCUCUCUUAGGGUUUGCAAUACUAUCCGCAAAUGUUGUUCAUGCUCCUCCCUUGACCUCGAAUACACCAAGAUAUCAUCAAUGAACACCACUACAAACCUAUCCAAGUAAGGUUUGAACACUCGAUGCAUCAUGUCCAUGAAUGCUGCCGGGGCAUUGGUUAAACCAAAAGGCAUCACAGCGAACUCAAAAUGCCCAUAUCGAGUGUUAAAUGCCGUUUUUGGCACAUCCUCCUUUCUAAUUCUCAACUGAUAGUACCCUUGUCGCAGAUCCAACUUGGAAAACACUACAGCCCCUUGUAAUUGAUCAAAUAACUCAUCUAUGUGGGGCAAGGGAUAUUUAUUCUUAAUGGUUACUGCAUUCAAUCCUCGAUAGUCAAUGCACAACCUUAAACUCCCGUCCUUUUUCUUAACAAAUAGAACUGGAGCUCCCCAUGGAGACUCGCUCUCAUGAAUAAACCCUCGUUCUAGCAAGUCUUGCAGUUGCACCUUCAACUCCUUGAGCUCAGCGGGUGCCAUACGAUAAGGAGUUUUAGAGAUGGGAGUGGUUCCGGGUACUAAAUCAACCUUAAAUUCAAUCUCCCUUUCGGGUGGCAAAGACUCCAAUUCUUCCGGAAAUACGUCCGGGUAUUCACUGAUUACUGGCAUGUCUUCCAACUUAGUCUUUUCUCCCGGAGUGUUAAUUAGAAAAGCUAGGUAACCGCGAGCCCCACGACUAAGCAACUUCCUAGCCCUUAUACCCGAAAUAAGUGCAGAAGAGGCUAUCAUACCCCUCACAUCAAGCUUUAGAGUUGCCUCCCCUGGUAUACAAAAUUCGACCACUUUCAUCUUACAAUCUACUCGAGCAUGAUAGUGAGCUAGCCAAUCCAUACCUAGGAUAACAUCAUACCCCUUAAUGGCUAGACUAAUGAGGUCCACUACCAAUUUCCGUUCGCCAAUCCAAAUAUCACAACUCCUAUACACCUCAUUCGCAAGCAAAGUUUGAUUACCUGUAGGUGUUCUUACCUCUAAGUCAUAAGGUAACCUUUCAACUUUCGAGUCAAUUCCAAGCAUAAAUGCAGGAUUAACAAAAGAGUGAGUAGCACCGGGGUCUAUUAAAAUUCUAGCUAACCGGUGAAAAACAGGGAUUGUACCUUCUACCACCUUGGUUGGUUCAAGCACAGUUGUUUGAUCUAGCGAGUACACUCUGGCCGGUACCCUCGACCUAGCCCCUCCAGCAGUAGUCGGCUUUGGGUUUGACCUGGCAGUCGACUGAGUGUCACUGAUUAGCGGACAGUUGACCAUCUGAUGAUCCGCACUUCCGCACCUCAAGCACUUCCGAGCCUUUCUCCAGCACUCGUCUUCAGUGUGGUUCAAUUUUCCACAAUACCCACAUGUCACUCGGGGAGUGGAGGUUUGACCUCCCUGAGUAAAACCUCUACCUUGACCUCUACCGCCCUGGCCUCCCCUCUGGGCAUUCCCUCUCGGAGCACUGCCCCUAAACGUGUUCGAAAAUCGUCCACUUCCAGCUCCACGACCGGAUUUAGCGGGUGGCAUGCUCCGCUCGCCUCGUACCGACCCUUGGGCUCCACUAGGUGCCCCUUUCCGCUUAGCGUGGAAAUUCCUUACUUGCGUCCUAGCAGUUUCUAUCCUUAAAGCCUUCUCCAGAACCUCCGUGAAAGUAUUGAUUUGGACCGCUGCUAAGGCUUCUUGCAAUUCCACAUUUAACCCUUGUAUAAACCUUCGUACUUUCCUUGGUUCCGUAGCAAUCAAUUCGGGAGCGAAUUUAGACAAUUUGGUAAACUGAGUCUCAUACUCAGUUACACUCAUCAGUCCCUGACGGAGUUUAAUGAAUUCGUCCUCUCUCUUCUCCUGGACGAUGGGUGGAAAGUAUUUUUCGUUGAAGUCCCGUACAAAGUUUAGCCAAGUCCAGGCAGUUUCCUCUCUCUCCCACUUGGCCCUCACUACAUUCCACCAAGCCCUAGCUGGCCCUUCAAAUUGGAAUACGGCAAAUUGGACUUGUCUCUCCUCAGUGUAGUUUAGGGCAGCAAAGAUAUUUACCAUGGUCUCCAGCCAUUUCUCAGCUUCAUACGGGUCUGGUCCUCCUAAGAAUUUGGGUGGAGAGAACUUCUGGAAUCUCUCCAAGGCUCUAUCUUGCCCCGAAUCAGGGUCUCUAGGUUGAUUUACAGACCCUUGACCCUGUUGCUCCACCAACCGAGUCAAAAUAUUAGUCAUCUGUUGGAUGGCAGUGGCCACCUGAUCUCCCCCGGCAGUCUGGGGUUCAGGUUGCUGUUCAACCGCUGCCUCCCUCUCCUCUAUCGGUUCAGGCACCGGUUCCUGUACUUGCUCACCCUCACGGCCUCGCCUGGAACCGCGUUCUCGAUUAGUUUUCUUGGUCCGACUCCUUUUAUCCUCCAUGUUUGAGAGUCAACCAACUAGAACAUAUAAACGGGGUAAGGUACGACUCAUAUAUCGCGUUGCAACAAUAUAACUAGAGGCAAAUAAACACGUAAGAAACAAGCACUUUAUUUACAUAUCAAACAAGUCGUAUAUACAGGCCAACAAGUCACGUAGUCAAAGGCUAUAACAGCCAAGGAACAUAGAACAAAAGAUAUUUAUAUCCACCAGGACACGUCUAAAACAAAAACAAAAGAAGACAUGUCGUCCCACUAUGUUCCUAACUAGCCCACAAAACCUCCUAAAACCCCGAUCCUAACAAGUGGUCUGGCUAGACGCCGACCCAACUGACUCCAAGGACGCGCUCGGCUCCUCCUCCAUGUCCUCCUCAGGAUCCUCCUCUGGAUCCUCCUCAGGGGCACCGGGAGCGGCAGGAGCUACAGGCGCUUGGCCUUCCUCGGCCAAGUCCUGGAUCACGUCCUCAACAAGUGCCUCGCACUUGGUCAGGAUGUGGUCAGUCCGGUCUCGUAUAUGGCCAACUAUGUGCAUCAAACGUCCAGUCACCGCAUGAGCCUGAUCACGGUAAGCAUCUGACUGCUGCUGCUCUGCCAGAACCGCGGCCUCCAACUCUCGUAUCCGAGCUCCCUGAUCUCGGAGAGUGGCCUGGAGACGCUCUAUCUCCGCAAAGCACCUACGAUUGGUGCUACCCAAUCGUCUCCGAUCGUCAUCUAUAGCAAGCACUACUCGGUCAGGGUAAGAGUAGGUCUUCCAGCAAUCGCAGCGCCGGAUCUUGCGCGCUGGGGACCACCGCUGCACUGGCCCGCCGGGAACCUCCUGGUAUGUGAUCACGCGACAUACAGGGCCCGCUAGAUAUGGCUCGACCACGAAAGCGUCAGUAGGUGCGUCAGUAGGUGUAACGACCCCAUUUUCCCCUAAGGCGAACCAGAGGGGUCAACGGGCCGCCUGCCCAGCUCUCGCUAGGACUCAGUCAUUCCCUACAGUCCUCGAAUGAAUUACAAGAUAAAACUCAACUUUUACAUCAUAUUCUCCAAAAUUUACAUAUCACAAUCGAAGCGGAAACUAGUUCUAAGCGAAAAAUGUAGAUUUACAUCCGAUUCAAUUCCAAAUAUUUAUACAAGCCCAAAAGUACAUAAAUCAAAACCAAAACUAAACUAUACAAGAUGUACGCCAUCCAGUCACACAAAGAUCCAAAUACAAGGUCUUCCUUUACCUCGAUCCCUGUGGGGAGAAGAAGAUAAUAGGGGGUGAGCUAGAAGCUCAGCGAGUGACCAGUAAAAUCAACAGCCAAGUAUAUUUCACAAUAAAGCAUUAAUAUGAUGUCAUGAUGCAGUAAUCAAAUGUUCAUUUAUUACUCAUGUGAGCCAGUGAAGUUCUUGUACUUAAAUAUCCAAUGCUCGUUUAGAUCAUGUAACCAUGAAACAGAAGUAAGGAGCCAUCGUGCUCCAAAGAACGUGUAAACAAUAGUGGAGACAUUGGUUCUAAGCACAAGACUUUCCAGGAACUCAUUGGAGCCAAAUUAUGUCAUGGCACACACUCGAACCCCCAAAUGAUAUGCAAUGGAGUAAUAAAUGCAAGAAUUAGUUCAAAAGUAACUUUGGGACAGUCGAGGGAUCACUCACACAAAAUAUAGUGCUUCAAGUAUUCACGUUCAACUAUACUCCAGGUUUGAAGUCCAGCUCUGCGAUGAAAAUCCAAUUUGAGAACUUGAAACACGAGUAAGAUUCGAAACUUAAACGUUCCGUUCAUUAAGAAUCAACCAAUUGAAAUUCAUUUGAAAGGCAUUCGUGAAACACUUGCUCGCUUUUCAAAUCAUAAGGUUUUGUAGUAUAGAUACUUGGAAAUAACACUUGAGUUGAAAGUACAGGGAAAUACAAGUUUACAUUGGCCAUUAUGUCUUUUCCUCAAGGGUACAAGUUCGGCCAAGUCCUAAUGUAUAACCCUCGAUAAACAAAGUAGCAAAGGUGCUUGCUAGUUCAAGUAAUAAUCACUUAACUUUACACAAGUUACAAGUCUCGUUUCCUAGUCCUCGAGUAUAAAUUCGGGCAGCAUGCCCUUUGUGUUUACCUAAUUUUCCAGCCUUUUAGGCUUCAUUGUUUUUCUCAAACACAACCCAACAUCAUACAUAUCAGCAAUUUAUGUCAAGAGCCGUUCCAUAGGCUCACAAUAUCAUAAUAACAAGAAUCGCAUUAAGUACAAGUGCAGAAAUUCAAUUUAGUUCAAGACAGAUUUGACGUACAAAUGCGGAAAUAACAUAUCCGAGGCUACACUUAUCGGAUUAAAACGAAACCUACGCCGUUUCGAAGCUAAGACACAGAGCUACAACAUUCAUGAAGGUCACUUAGUCCAGUUCCUAAUGUAACUUAGUCAAAUUCUCGAAUUACUAAACCAGAAACCAAUUCGUCGGCUGUUUAAAUGCAGAACACUGUAAUGGACAUAACUCAGUGUACACAAGUCCGAAUCAGGUUUUCUUUGAGGCAUUUUAAAGCUACUUCAUAACACUACAACUUUUAUGUUUUGGCCCAGAGCUAAAUCAGAAUGGAUCCUGGUCAAAAAUCGUGAUAAACUGGACUGAACUGAAGAAACGGACUGCUGGGAAAUUCUUAAAACAGUAGGGGUAUUUUGGACUUUUCACGUUCUGCGUUGCUCCGAUUGAGCUGAAAUUUUAUAGGCACCUAUAAAACAUCAUUUCCUACAACUUUCCUUCUUUGACCCAAGGCCAAUUCGGCCUCUAACACAUAGAUACAAAUUCGGACAGAAAUGAUCAAGAAUUUUCCAGAAAUCUGAAAUUUGUAGUUUCUAGUGAAAUUUUCCCUAAUUUCUCACUCCAAUCACUCCCAAAACACCUUAUAAAACCUCAAUGGUAACAUACAAGUAUCACACAUCAAGUUGGGCAGAAAUUCCACAGCCCUAGUUCAUCAAUUAAAUUGGGGAAAAACUUCUACACAUGCUAGCAUCCAUGAAUCCACCACCAAUCAAGCUACUAAGCUCACUUUAACCAUGAUUGAAAGAGAAAGUUAGAGAGAUAUCAUCCUCUUACCUUGAUUUGAGUUCUCCAAGUAUAGCCCCAAGCUUUCUCUUUCCAAAUUUUCACCACCAAUCACUAGAUAAUCACUCAAGAGUAGGUUUAAUCGGUUUACUUUGUUUGAUUUCGCACUUUGUUGGUGGAUUGAAGAAGAAAUGGAGAAGAGUUUUGUUUUUCCUCUCUUGUUCUUACUCUCUCUCUCUCUCGGCUCUUAGCAGCAGAAAAUGAAGAGAAAAUGCUAAGUAUUGGAGUUAAAUGGAUGGAGUUUGUCUUGGGUAAGAAGCCAUGAGGUGGUGACAAGUGUCACCACCACCACCCUUUCUUUUUCUCUUUCCUUCUUGCCUUUCUUAGCCACCAAUUUUCGGUCAACAUGCUGCCAAGAGAGAAGAUAUUAUGUGCAAAAGUCAACAACUUGUUGGGUAAGAAAAAUGGUGGUCAAGCGGUGCGUUCAAUCGGUAAUGCGUGGGACCCGCCGGUUCGCGCCGUUUUUCUUAAAAACUCACGUACUAGGGUUUUUACUUCCCAUUCACUAACUUUAUUUCAUUUCCCUAAUCACAUAUUAUUUCUCACUUAAAAGUCACUUUUAUUCACCAAAUUUAAUCCUUGCUCCAUACCGAAAAUUCAUCCGGCGAGAAAAUCGAGAAAACCUAAUUUUGCUCAAUUUGAAACCGAAGUGAAAAAUCCUAUUUUCUAGGUUCAUUGGCACUUAUUGUGGGGUGAUUGAGUAGUAUGGCCAUUAUAAAGUGGUAUUUGUCAAAGAAAAGGGAAUUUUAAGAAAAAUAUAAGGAAUUUGCACGGCUUCUGGCCGGAUUUUCCCACAAAACUCUAUUCACCAGAAAUUUUUCCCUUUUCUUCUGCCUCGGGGCGUCACAAACUCCCCUCCUUAAAAGAAUGUCGUCCUCGACAUUCCAACUUGUACUAAUCAGAUUAAAAUAGUUCUCGAAAGUCGAUCACGUAUUAAGAAUCAUUUCAAUCUCGCUUAUCAUAAUCAAAUACUAAUCAGAUCAAGUAUCUAAAAGAUCAAUCACAUACUAAGAAUCACUCUAAUCUCACUUAUCGUAAUUCAUGAUCCAGUAAAGCAUGGCUUAUUAAAUAAUCACUUAUCAAAUUCAAGUACUAAAUAUCACACCGAUCCAACUUAUCCAAUAGUCAUGGUCCACUAGGGAGUUAAUCAAGUGAUUAGAUAACAGGCAAAAAGCUUGAGGUUGGACGUAAAGUCCCAGAUAUUCGGAAGAAAUGCAGGAUAUAGCGAAACUUUAGAUCAAAUAUUCAUCCUUGGUGGUGCUGGACAACACAACAAGCUAGCACAACGGCUAUGCUUCACCAAAGAAUUUCAGUUCAGUAAGUUGGCCCUGGCGGUGAUGGACAACACAACAAGCUAGCACAACGGCUAUGCUUCACCAAAAGCCUCAGUUCAAGUAUUUGUCCCUGGCGGUGCUGGACAACACAACAAGUUAGCACAUCGGCUAAACUUCGCCAGAGAACCUCAGUUCAUGUAUUCGUCCCUGGCGGUGCUGGACAACACAACAAGUUAGCACAUCGGCUAAACUUCGCCAGAGAACCUCAGUUCAUAAUUCCAUCUCUGGUGGUGAUGGACAACACAACAAGCUAGCACAACGGCUAUGCUUCACCAAAAGCCUCAGUUCAAGUAUUUGUCCCUGACGGUGCUGGACAACACAACAAGCUAGCACAUCGGCUAAACUUCGCCAGAGAACCUCAGUUCAUGUAUUCGUCCCUGACGGUGCUGGACAACACAACAAGUUAGCACAUCGGCUAAACUUCGCCAGAGAACCUCAGUUCAUAAUUCCAUCUCUGGUGGUGAUGGACAACACAACAGGCAUGCCUUGCCAGAAGAAUGGCGGUGCUGGACAACACAACAGGCAAUGCCCCACCAGAGAGGUUCAGUUCAACCGCUACAGAAGAGUAGUAGCCGGUCUACAACCAUAUGAGUACGAGUAAGUUCACGAGUAGGGUAACAGUAGAGUUCAAACGAAUAGGUUCAAAACAGAACGGAAUAUUUCAGGUUCAUGCAGCACGAAUAGAAAGAGGUUCAAAAGCAGGGUCAAAUGCUUUAGGUUCAUGGAGCACCAGUACAAUUAAGAACUCACUCGUCCAACUUAUGCCCAGCAAAUCACAUUCUUAAGCAGUCACAAGAUUCAAGUUCACAUUCCAUAUAUACAGCCAAAUUAGGUCCAUCAAGGUACGUAAGGCACACUAGCCUAAACAGGUUCAAGUCUCAAGUAAGCUCAGUCUAAUCGGUUUCAGGCAGUUCGAGUUCUCUUAUCAACCCAGUACAAUACUUUCGGGGUUCAAACUUCCUAAGGUUGUAAUAUUGGCACAGAACCAACCCUAACAUAUGUUGCGCACAAGAAAAUUUCACCAAGUUUCCGACUAGAUUAAUCCAUUAUACACUAGUAGAUCUGAUCUUCGGGUUUAUUUUCGAUUCAUAUUCAGUACUAGGGACCUAUUAAAUUGUAUGAAUCUGUCCAUCAAUUUCUCCCAUGAAUACGGAGUUGGCUAAACCCUCGGUCACAGCCCUUUACUCCUAGCCCUGCUACCAUACUUAAUAAAAAUCUGUAAGUACAGGAAAAGGAUUAACUAAGCAUGAAAGAACUUAACACGUAUACUAGUUGCAAAAACAUUUAAAAUCAGGUCAUGAUUUAUUACAUAUAUCAAAAGUUAUAACCUGAGUUAAAAGUCAUAAAAUAAGGCCAAUAUGUCGGAAUUUGUAUAUAAACACUUAGGUACCAUAAAAGAUAAAAGCAUAGGUAAGCUAGAUACAAAAGUCUCACGAUGUGGACCACCCUUCCUAGGUCUUCCACAUGGUCCAAUUAUUGCUCAUUUCAAUCAGAUUACAUGCCUUCACGACAUUAGAUCCAAGAAAUCCAUAACACAAGCCGAAGUCAAAGGUUAUCCAUGUCGAAGUUCAAAAUGCCAUCAUCUCCAAGAAUAACCAAUCUUAGGUUCUAUAGUACAGUCGCAAGUUCCAAGUUCAAACCCAAGAAAUGAAUACACUUGCUAACUAACGUGCCAAAUGGAACCCAAGUCAAUUCACACUAACUUCGUACUCUUGAAUACAGCCACUCUAUAUCUCAAAGUUGUCUCAAUCCGUACAUUUAAAAUUGGCUCACUCUUCUUGAAAGUCAAGAAUUUUAAAACAUAAGAUGAGUGUUUAAAGUAAUCAAAAUCUUAUCAAGUUCAGGAUUCACAUUAGUAAACAUAAGCUUGCCAUUCUCUCGAAAACUCAGGAUAUAUAUAUAUUUUUCUUCGUAUAAAGCAUGGACCAAUUCAAGUGUGAGAAUAUGCCGGUAUACAAUCAAGGGGAAAACUUAGUUUAGAAAUUGUUAUCCUGGUAUUAACCCAUCAUACACAAAAUUCAACAAGCUCAUCAGGUAUUCACAACUUUUCAAAUUUGAACUUCAAGUAAAACUCACAUUUUUACUAAAAUCGGCAAAUUACACAUACUUAAAGCAUAUAUAUCUUAUUUCCAAUCAUUGCAUACAAAUAAAACUAGUACAUCCUAGCUUUUCUUCAAAAUCCCAAAACAAAAUUUCUUUAGAAAGUAGGGGGCGAAAAUGCAUUUUAUUCCUUUGGUACUUUUAUCUUGGUUCAAAAUCAUUACUCAUAAAAUUUGACUAUCACAUCUCACCUUUUAUCCAUGGCCAUGGCCAGUACUAGGAAUCACCUCAAUUCCUUCCACACUUACAAACAUACUAGAAUUCAAAUUCGUCCAAUCUUUCACUAGUCAUCUAAUUCCUCAAUUUUUUUUUCUACAAGUCCCAAAUAAGGAAUUCUCAAACAGUAAAUUUCUUUGUACCACUAGGAUACAAUAGCUCCUCGUUCACAUAAUAUUCAAAUUACUCUCACAGCCAAACAUCCUAAACUUUAACUCUAGGAUACGCUACAGAGAUCUGGAACCUAAGCUCUGAUACCAAUUGUAACGACCCCAUUUUCCCCUAAGGCGAACCAGAGGGGUCAACGGGCCGCCUGCCCAGCUCUCGCCAGGACUCAGUCAUUCCCUACAGUCCUCGAAUGAAUUACAAGAUAAAACUCAACUUUUACAUCAUAUUCUCCAAAAUUUACAUAUCACAAUCGAAGCGGAAACUAGUUCUAAGCGAAAAAUGUAGAUUUACAUCCGAUUCAAUUCCAAAUAUUUAUACAAGCCCAAAAGUACAUAAACCAAAACCAAAACCAAAACUAAACUAUACAAGAUGUACGCCAUCCAGCCACACAAAGAUCCAAAUACAAGGUCUUCCUUUACCUCGAUCCCUGUGGGGAGAAGAAGAUAAUAGGGGGUGAGCUAGAAGCUCAGCGAGUGAGUAAAAUCAACAGCCAAGUAUAUUUCACAAUAAAGCAUUAAUAUGAUGUCAUGAUGCAGUAAUCAAAUGUUCAUUUAUUGCUCAUGUGAGCCAGUGAAGUUCUUGUACUUAAAUAUCCAAUGCUCGUUUAGAUCAUGUAACCAUGAAACAGAGGUAAGGAGCCAUCGUGCUCCAAAGAACGUGUAAACAAUAGUGGAGACAUUGGUUCUAAGCACAAGACUUUCCAGGAACUCAUUGGAGCCAACUUAUGUCAUGGCACACACCCGAACCCCCAAAUGAUAUGCAAUGGAGUAAUAAAUGCAAGAAUUAGUUCAAAAGUAACAUUGGGACAGUCGAGGGAUCACUCACACAAAAUCUAGUGCUUCAAGUAUUCACGUUCAACUAUACUCCAGGUUUGAAGUCCAGCUCUGCGAUAAAAAUCCAAUUUGAGAACUUGAAACAUGAGUAAGAUUCGAAACUUAAACGUUCCGUUCAUUAAGAAUCAACCAAUUGAAAUUCAUUUGAAAGGCAUUCGUGAAACACUUGCUCGCUUUUCAAAUCAUAAGGUUUUGUAGUAUAGAUACUUGGAAAUAACACUUGAGUUGAAGGUACAAGGAAAUACAAGUUUACAUUGGCCAUUAUGUCUUUUCCUCAAGGGUACAAGUUCGGCCAAGUCCUAAUGUAUAACCCUCGAUAAACAAAGUAGCAAAGGUGCUUGCUAGUUCAAGUAAUAAUCACUUAACUUUACACAAGUUACAAGUCUCGUUUCCUAGUCCUCGAGUAUAAAUUCGGGCAGCAUGCCCUUUGUGUUUACCUAAUUUUCCAGCCUUUUAGGCUUCAUUAUUUUUCUUCAACAACAACCCAACAACAUACAUAUCAGCAAUUUAUGUCAAGAGCCGUUCCAUAGGCUCACAAUAUCAUAACAACAAGAAUCGCAUCAAGUACAAGUGCAGAAAUUCAAUGUGGCACAAGACAGAUUUGACGUAUAAAAGCGGAAAUAACUUGUCCGAGGCUACGCUUAUCGGAUUAAGGCAAAACCUAUGCCGUUUCGAAGCUAAGACACAAAGCUACAACAUUCAUGAAGGUCACUUAGUCCAUUUCCUAAUGUAACUUAGUCAAAAUCUCAGAUUACUAAACCAGAAACCAAUUCAUCGGCUGUUUAAACGCAUUAUGCUGUAACGGACCUAACUCAGUGUACACAAGUCCGAAUCAGGUUUUCUUUGAGCCAUUUUAAAGCUACUUCAUAACACUACAACUUUUAUGUUUUGGCCCAGAGCUAAAUCAGAAUGGAUCCUGGUCAAAAAUCGUGAUAAACCGGACUGAACUGAAGAAACGGACUGCUGGAAAAUUCUUAAAACAGUAGGGGUAUUUUGGACUUUUCACGUUCUGCGUUGCUCCGAUUGAGAUGAAAUUUUAUAGGCACCUAUAAAAUACCAUUCUCUAUAACUUUCCUUCUUUGACCCAAGGCCAAUUCGGCCUCUAACACAUAGAUACAAAUUCGGACAGAAAUGAUCAAGAAUUUUCCAGAAAUCUGGAAUUUGUAGUUUCUAGUGAAAUUUUCCCUAAUUUCUCACUCCAAUCACUCCCAAAACACCUUAUAAAACCUCAAUGGUAACAUACAAGUAUCACACAUCAAGUUGGGCAGAAAUUCCACAGCCCUAGUUCAUCAAUUAAAUUGGGGAAAACUUCUACACAUGCUAGCAUCCAUGAAUCCACCACCAAUCAAGCUACUAAGCUUACUUUAACCAUGAUUGAAAGAGAAAGUUAGAGAGAUAUCAUCCUCUUACCUUGAUUUGAGUUCUCCAAGGGUAGCCCAAGCCUUCUCUUUCCAAAAUUUCACCACCAAACACUAGCUAAUCACU
RNAcentral lists this long non-coding RNA (35514 nucleotides) under Coffea arabica (coffee). Its description in RNAcentral is "long non-coding RNA (CARA_LNC005157)". Lineage: Eukaryota; Viridiplantae; Streptophyta; Magnoliopsida; Gentianales; Rubiaceae. The record is from RNAcentral.